Molecule: unclassified non-coding RNA, 481 nt
Filed under: Fusarium solani
Lineage: Eukaryota; Fungi; Ascomycota; Sordariomycetes; Hypocreales; Nectriaceae
Description: sequence contains ITS2, 28S rRNA gene
Rfam family: Eukaryotic large subunit ribosomal RNA
Source: RNAcentral
CAACAGGGAUUGCCUCAGUAACGGCGAGUGAAGCGGCAACAGCUCAAAUUUGAAAUCUGGCUCUCGGGCCCGAGUUGUAAUUUGUAGAGGAUGCUUUUGGUGAGGUGCCUUCCGAGUUCCCUGGAACGGGACGCCAUAGAGGGUGAGAGCCCCGUCUGGUUGGACACCGAUCCUCUGUAAAGCUCCUUCGACGAGUCGAGUAGUUUGGGAAUGCUGCUCUAAAUGGGAGGUAUAUGUCUUCUAAAGCUAAAUACCGGCCAGAGACCGAUAGCGCACAAGUAGAGUGAUCGAAAGAUGAAAAGAACUUUGAAAAGAGAGUUAAAAAGUACGUGAAAUUGUUGAAAGGGAAGCGCUUGUGACCAGACUUGGGCUUGGUUGAUCAUCCGGGGUUCUCCCCGGUGCACUCUUCCGGCUCAGGCCAGCAUCAGUUCGCCCUGGGGGAUAAAGGCUUCGGGAAUGUGGCUCUCUCCGGGGAGUGUUA